AGAUUGAACGCUGGCGGCAUGCCUAACACAUGCAAGUCGAACGGCAGCGGGUCGUAGCAAUACGAUGCCGGCGAGUGGCGGACGGGUGAGGAAUACAUAGGAAUCUACCCUGUCGUGGGGGAUAACGUAGGGAAACUUACGCUAAUACCGCAUACGACCGAGAGGUGAAAGCGGCGGACCGCAAGGCGUCGCGCGGCUGGAUGAGCCUAUGUCCGAUUAGCUAGUUGGCGGGGUAAGAGCCCACCAAGGCGACGAUCGGUAGCUGGUCUGAGAGGAUGAUCAGCCACACUGGGACUGAGACACGGCCCAGACCUCCUACGGGAGCAGCAGGUGGGGAAU
Molecule: ribosomal RNA, 339 nt
Filed under: uncultured soil bacterium
Lineage: Bacteria
Description: bacterial SSU rRNA
Rfam family: Bacterial small subunit ribosomal RNA
Source: RNAcentral